AACGCACAUUGCGCCUCUCUUUACCGGGAGGCAUGCCUGUCUGAGCGUCAUUAAAUCAAUAAAUCCUUCGCUGGAUUUGUGUUGGGAUUUGCACCUCAAAGUGCAUCUCCUCAAAGUCAUGGUUCUUAACUCAUGGAUGAGCUCCUUUUGGACUUGCCGUGGUUUGGCCUUUUUUUCUGCGAGAGGUACACCUCUCUGAAUUUGACCUCAGAUCAGGUAGGAAGACCGCCUGAACUUAA
Molecule: unclassified non-coding RNA, 239 nt
Filed under: uncultured fungus
Lineage: Eukaryota; Fungi
Description: sequence contains ITS2
Source: RNAcentral